GACGAACGCUGGCGGCGUGCUUAACACAUGCAAGUCGAACGGAAAGGCCCUGCUUUUGUGGGGUGCUCGAGUGGCGAACGGGUGAGUAACACGUGAGUAACCUGCCCUUGACUUUGGGAUAACUUCAGGAAACUGGGGCUAAUACCGGAUAGGAGCUCCUGCUGCAUGGUGGGGGUUGGAAAGUUUCGGCGGUUGGGGAUGGACUCGCGGCUUAUCAGCUUGUUGGUGGGGUAGUGGCUUACCAAGGCUUUGACGGGUAGCCGGCCUGAGAGGGUGACCGGCCACAUGGGGAUUGGGGUGCGGCCCGGACUCCUCCGGGAGGAAGGGGUGGGGAAUUUUGCCAGAGGGGCGGAGGCCUGAUGCAGGAACCCCGGGUGGGGAAAGUCGGCCUUCGGGUUGUAACCCCUUUUCCCCUGUGCCGAAGCGUGGGUGCGGUAAAUGGGGAAAAAAGCACCGGCAAAUUCCGU
This 467-nucleotide ribosomal RNA is filed under the name uncultured bacterium. RNAcentral's name for it is "partial 16S ribosomal RNA". It matches the Rfam family "Bacterial small subunit ribosomal RNA", at positions 28 to 506 of the family's 1533-position model. The record is from RNAcentral.